This 253-nucleotide ribosomal RNA is filed under the name uncultured bacterium. RNAcentral's name for it is "partial 16S ribosomal RNA". It matches the Rfam family "Bacterial small subunit ribosomal RNA", at positions 524 to 776 of the family's 1533-position model. The record is from RNAcentral.
UACGGGGGGGGCAAGCGUUGUUCGGAAUUACUGGGCGUAAAGGGCUCGUAGGCGGCCAACUAAGUCAGACGUGAAAUCCCCAGGCUCAACCUGGGAACUGCGUCUGAUACUGGAUGGCUUGAAUCCGGGAGAGGGAUGCAGAAUUCCAGGUGUGGCGGUGAAAUGCGUAGAUAUCUGGAGGAAUACCGGUGGCGAAGGCGGCAUCCUGGACCGGCAUUGACGCUGAGGAGCGAAAGCUAGGGGAGCAAACGGG